UUUAUGGAGAGUUUGAUCCUGGCUCAGGAUGAACGCUGGCGGCGUGCCUAAUACAUGCAAGUCGAGCGAACGGACGAGAAGCUUGCUUCUCUGAUGUUAGCGGCGGACGGGUGAGUAACACGUGGAUAACCUACCUAUAAGACUGGGAUAACUUCGGGAAACCGGAGCUAAUACCGGAUAAUAUUUUGAACCGCAUGGUUCAAAAGUGAAAGACGGUCUUGCUGUCACUUAUAGAUGGAUCCGCGCUGCAUUAGCUAGUUGGUAAGGUAACGGCUUACCAAGGCAACGAUGCAUAGCCGACCUGAGAGGGUGAUCGGCCACACUGGAACUGAGACACGGUCCAGACUCCUACGGGAGGCAGCAGUAGGGAAUCUUCCGCAAUGGGCGAAAGCCUGACGGAGCAACGCCGCGUGAGUGAUGAAGGUCUUCGGAUCGUAAAACUCUGUUAUUAGGGAAGAACAUAUGUGUAAGUAACUGUGCACAUCUUGACGGUACCUAAUCAGAAAGCCACGGCUAACUACGUGCCAGCAGCCGCGGUAAUACGUAGGUGGCAAGCGUUAUCCGGAAUUAUUGGGCGUAAAGCGCGCGUAGGCGGUUUUUUAAGUCUGAUGUGAAAGCCCACGGCUCAACCGUGGAGGGUCAUUGGAAACUGGAAAACUUGAGUGCAGAAGAGGAAAGUGGAAUUCCAUGUGUAGCGGUGAAAUGCGCAGAGAUAUGGAGGAACACCAGUGGCGAAGGCGACUUUCUGGUCUGUAACUGACGCUGAUGUGCGAAAGCGUGGGGAUCAAACAGGAUUAGAUACCCUGGUAGUCCACGCCGUAAACGAUGAGUGCUAAGUGUUAGGGGGUUUCCGCCCCUUAGUGCUGCAGCUAACGCAUUAAGCACUCCGCCUGGGGAGUACGACCGCAAGGUUGAAACUCAAAGGAAUUGACGGGGACCCGCACAAGCGGUGGAGCAUGUGGUUUAAUUCGAAGCAACGCGAAGAACCUUACCAAAUCUUGACAUCCUUUGACAACUCUAGAGAUAGAGCCUUCCCCUUCGGGGGACAAAGUGACAGGUGGUGCAUGGUUGUCGUCAGCUCGUGUCGUGAGAUGUUGGGUUAAGUCCCGCAACGAGCGCAACCCUUAAGCUUAGUUGCCAUCAUUAAGUUGGGCACUCUAAGUUGACUGCCGGUGACAAACCGGAGGAAGGUGGGGAUGACGUCAAAUC
Molecule: ribosomal RNA, 1209 nt
Filed under: Staphylococcus aureus
Lineage: Bacteria; Bacillati; Bacillota; Bacilli; Caryophanales; Staphylococcaceae
Description: bacterial SSU rRNA
Rfam family: Bacterial small subunit ribosomal RNA
Source: RNAcentral